UGGGGGGUCGUCUAAUGGUAGGACUAUGGACUUUGACUCCAUGUAUCGGGGUUCGAAUCCCUGCCCCCCAGCCA
Molecule: transfer RNA, 74 nt
Filed under: Patescibacteria group bacterium
Lineage: Bacteria
Description: tRNA-Gln
Rfam family: tRNA
About the family: Transfer RNA (tRNA) molecules are approximately 80 nucleotides in length.
Source: RNAcentral